This is a long non-coding RNA of Phasianus colchicus (ring-necked pheasant), 6334 nucleotides long. RefSeq lists it as uncharacterized. Lineage: Eukaryota; Metazoa; Chordata; Aves; Galliformes; Phasianidae. The record is from RefSeq and is a predicted model, not a curated record.
CGCCCCUCGGGCCGGCGCCGGGCCGCGUUCCCAACCGCGCACAAAAGCGGCGGUUGACCAGCGGGCUGUCCUGGGGCGCGCUGAGCAGUGGGAGGCGAUGCCAAGAUACCAGAAGGGGCUAUAAGGCAAUACGGUUACUAUGAAUUACCGCCGAAAUGCCGAGGUGAUGGCAGCUCAUAGUGAGAGGGUCUGGGGGAAAAGGGGACGGCACUGACAGCACAACCCCAGCCUUCAGAAGAUCACCUUAGGUCGGGCGGCAAAAUGGCGGCACCUGUCUCCUCACAGGGCACGCCGCAUCCUCACAGGGCGCGUGGCCCUCAUCCAAGCGUUCUGCUGGCAUUGCCAUACACUGCUGUUACGGAAGAGCUUUUGCAACUUGAAAAUAAGCUGUCAUGUUCAGAGGAAGUGACUCAGAAGACUCGGGGGCAAGCAGGAUCUUUCUGCUGAGCUCAUGCUGCAGCAGGCUCCGUGGGAGAAGCAGAGCCUCAAUUUCCUCAUGAUGUUUUCCAAUGCUUGGUCACGGUGAGCCUGGGCAGAGGCCAGGACAGUUCUACCAGAAAGGACCACCAAAGGAAGAUGGCAACACAGAAGGUUCAACAACUGUAGUCCCUUCAUCACUUGAGCCAUAAGCCACCAAGACCUGAAGACCAUGGAUGGAUUACAUUCCAUUGGGAUCUGACAAGGUGUUACCAUAUGGACUCUGGGAUCUGCAACCUCACUUGUCCUCAGCAACAGGAUCAUAGAUGCUGCCUCAGAUCGCCUCUCAUCUCAAAAGCACCGCUGUGACUUUGCUAGAAGAAAACAAGGACAGGAGCUCUGGGCCAUGAGCUGGCUUUAAAUCCUCUUGGGUCCCCGAGUCCCUAAGUGGCAGUGCAGUCGCAGAGAAAGUGAAGUUCUUAACAAGUGACCUUGACAGGAUAAAAGAUCAUUUCUCAUCAUUGCCUCAAAUGUUUAUGCCCGACGCGGCUCUAGUCGGUGUUGCUGUUAUUUCGACACGUAUUGUUUCAAGCUCUUCUCCAAAAUAACUGCUUAAAGGAAAGAUCGUGAAGUUGGAUUAGACCUGCCAACCUGAUGAAAGUGUCAAGAUUGUCUAACUUAAACGGGGAGCUUUCCUAAGUACAAUUCAUUCUCAUGAAGACUUCCGGUGUUGCUUGAUGUGCUUUCUAGUUGGGUUGUCUAAUUGUUAAUGUUGGUAAAGUUUUAGGUUUUGAAGCUUCAAUUAAUAACGGGCUUUGAAGCUAGGCUGCAUGCUCAGUUUUUUAUUAGUUUAGCAUUAAGUUUCUUCGUUAAAAACUUACACUUAUCAAAAAGACUGUUCUGUGAAGUAAUUUUACUCUUUGUUUCCUUUAUGCGAGAAACAUUCAUAAUAGUUACUGGCAAGGAAAACAGAAACAACAAUGAACUCCUCUGACUUCUAGUUAAGGGUUGAACUGCCUGGUCUCCUUCAGUUGGCUGAAAGUUUUAAUUUUAAGGAGUUAGUGUGCUUGUUCCUGGGGAUAAUCUUAUUCAGUCUGUGCAUUCAGAACGACCCUGGCAAUGAUGAAACACAAAGGAGUAAAGAAGUGGGUGUUAUUGCAGAAAAAAACAGAGGAACUCUGGCCAGAAAAGAACACUGUAGCCAAACAGGGAGAUUCUGGAGCAUUAUAUAUCCUUCAAGAUCUCCUUUCACAUUGCUUUUUGCAAGAGCUUUUCACUAUCUAAUAUAAACCCAAACCCUUUCCUCUUUGGAAGGUGUGAAUUGGACAGAAAAACAAAACAUGAAGUGAAUUUUCCUUUCUGAAUCAUGCAGAUAAAUUGGAUUCUCUUCUUUUGAGGCAAGAAAACUGGAAACAUACAGAGAAAAUGGUCAAAUAGAAGUUUAAUUGCCAGCUCCUUCUUUUUUUUUUUCUCUUCAGAGGAUUACCUCUAGUCAAUGGCUGCAAAAAUAAACCUCUGUUUACUCACUGUGCUAAGAAAGACCAUUAUCAGAAAGCCAUACAAGACUAAAUAUGUGUCUUUCUGAAAUGAAUCAACUGCAUAAUAUAACAAGCAACUGCAACUACCAACAUGCUAUAUAUACACAACAAUACCCUUUCAAGUUUUAUGCAAUCUGGAACAGUGGCAGCAGGCCAGCACAUUAUCUUCUAAUCCAUUCCAAACCAAGGUUUUUAAAUGUUAUACAUAUUCAUACAUGCCAUAGAAAACUAGUAGGGGCUUUAGUCAGACACUUUUUGCAUAAUCUUUAUGUUCCAAAAAUGAAAGAAUGUUUGCCCUUUUUUGCAUAAGGAUCAGAGUGAAAAUUCCCUUUUGUUCAUCUCCACAAAACCUGAAAACCAAUAUGCACGGAUUCUCUAAUCCUCAUUUCACACCUGAAGGGUGAAGAAGUUUGACAAAAAGAAGAAUCAGUGACCAGCUUCAUGGCACUGCCUUGUGCUGUCAUGGCAGGUCAGUGGUUUCAGAGCUCUUUUGUGACUUCUGCUCCCUCUACAGGUGCCAUUUCUGAGAUGCUGCGCAGUCAUGCUACGUGGAGAUUGUGCCAGGGAAAGUUCAGGCUGAUGAUUUGAGAAAUGACAUCAGUAAAGUUCCUAAAUAACUGCAUCUUCCUUCUCUCUAUGAAUACAAAAUUCAGUAGUAGCAGUUAGAGUGCAGGAUUGUACAGCCAAGAUGGGGAAAAAAAGAAGAUAAAUUGUAUGAAGUAUUGCCUGUCUUUAAGGAGGGUCAUAGAUAUAUUACUAUGUCCAUACUAGUGCCUUACAGGUUGCAAGUUGUUCCACUUUUAUUGAUAUUAUACAGUUUAUAGGAACUAAAACAACUGACAGCUUUUUGGGGAGGUUCUUCUUCAUGUGAAAAGAGGGUCAUUCAUGGAACUAAACGACAAAUGUGUAUUUGAGAUCAUAAAUUGUUUGCUAUCCAUGGAUAUCUUUUAUCAUACUUUCACCUGCUUACAGAUCUCAAAAUACCCUCAACCUGCCAAACUACAACUGCAGCAUUCAGGAAAUUUUACAAGCCUAUUCAUUCCUCAGUCCUUUAUGACAACAGAUCUUUCAGUUUGUACAGAUAGGGAUCUUAUAAAGCACCACUUAUUACUAAGUGGGGAAAAGAUGCAGGUAGUUUUUACCAUACAAGGUCAAAGAGAAUGUGGAAGGCACAUCUAAGCAAUACUUGUCGAUAUCAGCUUUUUACAGUGAGAUAAGGAGAACUUCAGUAUUGCUCUAAAACAAUGUCUUUUUUGGUACUGAAGACAUAUCUUUUACAAAACACUUAUACUACUAAUAGCAGUAAUUUAUUCUGUCUACUUACUUACAAAAGCCACUUUCAGGCUGGAUUUUAAGGGCAAAUCCUCAUUUCUUCCAUCUCCCUGCCUCUUUACUUCAUGAAACAAAGUGACAUGGCAAAAAAGCAUAGCAAAUACAAAGAGGGUUCAUAUUUCUGACGCAUUAAAUAUUGCUUGCCCACAUCACAUACAGACUACCUGGAUCAGCUUACAAACUUCCCUGUUUGCAUAUAACUAUGGCUCUAUCACACAUUGCUUUCUCUUCCCUGGUUUACUUUCCCUAUAUCCUGUUCCUCACAGCCUUCCCCAGAUAGGAGACUUCCAUGGGGAUCAGGAGAUGGGGAAGAGGAAGAAGGAGCAGGUAGUCACAAAGAUAGCAGCAGGUAAAAGUUGGUGAUGCUCUGUGGAGCAAUGUCCCCUCGAUGUUGUCAAUACCACAGUUCUGCCACUGCACCUCUGAAAAGACUGAUUCACAGAGAACUGCAGCAGGAAAAACUGGACUUGGUUUCUUUCCCUUCCAGUCUGACUUUCUGAAAAUAAGCAAACAAACUAGGUUUAUGUGGUUAACAUCAAUCUAUUUUCCUCUUUUCCUCUGAGUAAUUUUGUCAAAUUUGAGAAGAAGCCCGAAGUUUCAAUGCUAAGGAAAUUCCUACCAAUUUUCUGUGAAAACACAUAGCUAUGGAGAAGGAUCACAUAAAGGGCCUCUUCUGUCCCCUUUAGGGAAAAGGCUGUAAGUUCCUAUGUUAUGACAAAAGCCUAUUCGUGCAGAAUUCCCCAGCCAUGAAGAAAGCACACAAAACCCAGCCAUGAGGAAAACUCUGAGCAGAACUUAGGCACAGAACUUGGUACAAAAACUCUGAGGAAACUAGGCCUCGCAGUUUCUGGCACUCAUGGAAUUCCUGGCUCAGACACUGCCUGACAGCUCCUGCGUGUUUCAAGAUGCAUCGUUUAAUAUAAACAACAGCAGGAACAUCAGGAAACAUAAAAGAUUUAAAGGAAGCUUCAGUUUCAGCUGAAGGAUGCCACCAGAUCAAACUUCUGCUUUUGGCUGCCAGUUACAGGAAUAAAGUUGUCAGCAGCACAUCAGCUGUCGGGAUCAGAGCUCUGUGGUGAGAAUGCAGAUACAAUGCCAGCGGCUGUUCUCAGUUUCAUCACUGCUUACAAGAGAAAUGGAGAGACCAAUCUCCUACUGCAGAAAAUGGCACCACCAGUGGGAACUACCUGGACAUUUUUAUUCAUAAAUUUAAGCAAGCGUCAAAGUUAAGUUUGAGGGAAAUCAUUUUGCAAAGAAUGAAGACGUUUUAGACAGAUCAGUAAUAGAAUGGUUCCUAGCAAUAUUUAGAGAUAUCUCCAUUUGAAACAGAAUAGCAUGCAUUAGAACAAACAUGCAGAAAUGACAAAUAGCAGGUCAUAAUUCCUGUGAUGAAAUCUGGUUUCUACUUUUCUCCUGAAAAGAGUAGAAUAACAUCACAGAACUACUUUGAUUUUAUACUUGCUAAAGAGAGCACACUUUAUCUGCGAGUUAUCUGACUGAAUGGUCUUGUCUUGUUUUCACUAGUUAAUAUCUGGCAAUUAUUUGUGGAUAUGAUUGUUGUAAGCUUAACAUAAGUAGGCAGUACUGACUGAGUUUUAGCAGUAGGUCUUUUUUUGCUUGACCUGAUGGCACACGCAAAAAUCAAAAAACUGCCAGGCUCACAUUAGGAUUUGAAUGAGUUAUGUUAGUGGAAUCCAAAUACAUGCUGUUUUGAAGAGCUAAGAGAAGCAGUAGACACAUGCAGAAUAGCCAGUAAAAAGCAGUAAAAUAGCACAAUAUACACCUGUAGUAAGGCCUGGAGUAAAAGAAGAAAGAGCCUUUAGGUACAGUACUAACUAAAGAAAGGCUUAGAGGUCUGAGCAAGGAGAACAUUCCUUGCCAUCAUGUGUGGAGGAACAUGAGAUAUUUUAAUUCUUUGAAAAACAAAUGGCAUCAAAAAUAAAACAGCUGAACUUCAGUUUCCUCUCCUAAGUAAAAUAGUUGAAGCUCAGAUUACUGAUCAAAACAGGUAAUACUAUGUUCAUUCAGUAUAAAUUUUUGUUUCAAACCUUUGGGUGCUACUAGUAAAUCUACAUUCUGGUUUGUUUCUGGUUCUACUUUGAAGAUAAAGGUAUGUGCAGAUAUGGGCGAAAAGGGCAGAUCUGUAGCAGCCUACAUAUAUGUCAGUUUAAGCUUACAAGUUUCACUCUUGGCCCUGGGACAUGUAAGUAGGCCAAGCAAGGUAGAGAACCAGUGACUUAAAUGGUUAUAACAAUACCGUUACCAUCCCCAUAGUUUGGCGGGGCUCCAGUCAAGUCUGAGAUCCCUUUGUAUUACCACUAAUACUUCUCAUCUACACUUAUUUACAUUUAUCUGCCUAACAAGAACAGGCAGUCUAGGAAAAAGUCAUUUGCCCCAGGCAGAAAAGCUCAGGGCCUUAGGAAGGAAUUGUUAACAGUGUCUGCAUAUGCAAUUACAUAUUUCAUUACUGAAAAGUGAGGUCAGGCCCUUACGCAGGCAUUAGUACAGCCAUUUACACACAUGAGAGUCUCAGCUAAGUAGAAUGGCAUUUCCACCCUAGGACUGUUCUGGAACUAGAGAGCAAUAUCUUAUGAGAAGAAUUUACUCAUUGAUAAUCACUUUUCUAUGAAGCUUUCUAAAGAGCUGAAAGUUCUCAUUUUUUUCCAUUCGGAAAAAGAUCACAGCUCACGACACUCCUCUGGAGUGCAGUGGAUGUGGUUACUGCAGUACUUAGAACAAGUAGAUGCAGGUGCCACCGUAGAUACGGUCUAGCACUGCUGAAUGGAGUUUAACUGGCUGAAUGGAGUUUAACUGCAGACACAGAAAGUCAAGCUUUGGUUUUGUAAGGUUAGGUUGCUCAUAGUUGAGCAUCGCCAUCCCUGGGACUCAGAUCUAUGUGCCAUUAAUCACAUUAAUUGAGAAUGUGGCCUUAGUAGCCAAGAAAAUUUCUUCUCACUAUUGAGAAACUUGAGUUUCAGUCAAGAUCUCUCCUAUGGGAACUUGCCUGCCUGCAGUUUUUGACAGUGUUUGAAAUGAUGAGAGCUUGG